GACGAACGCUGGCGGCGUGCUUAACACAUGCAAGUCGAACGGAAAGGCCCUGCUUUUGUGGGGUGCUCGAGUGGCGAACGGGUGAGUAACACGUGAGUAACCUGCCCUUGACUUUGGGAUAACUUCAGGAAACUGGGGCUAAUACCGGAUAGGAGCUCCUGCUGCAUGGUGGGGGUUGGAAAGUUUCGGCGGUUGGGGAUGGACUCGCGGCUUAUCAGCUUGUUGGUGGGGUAGUGGCUUACCAAGGCUUUGGCGGGUAGCCGGCCUGAGAGGGUGACCGGCCACAUUGGGACUGAGAUACGGCCCAGACUCCUUCGGGAGGCAGCAGUGGGGAAUAUUGCACAAUGGGCGGAAGCCUGAUGCAGCAACGCCGCGUGCGGGAUGACGGCCUUCGGGUUGUAAACCGCUUUCGCCUGUGACGAAGCGUGAGUGACGGUAAUGGGUAAAGAAGCACCGGCUAACUACGUG
This 468-nucleotide ribosomal RNA is filed under the name uncultured bacterium. RNAcentral describes it as "partial 16S ribosomal RNA". It matches the Rfam family "Bacterial small subunit ribosomal RNA", at positions 28 to 507 of the family's 1533-position model. The record is from RNAcentral.